RNAcentral lists this transfer RNA (71 nucleotides) under Culex quinquefasciatus (southern house mosquito). Its description in RNAcentral is "tRNA-Glu". Lineage: Eukaryota; Metazoa; Arthropoda; Insecta; Diptera; Culicidae. The record is from RNAcentral.
GUAACCCGUGGUGUAGGGGUAAGCAUGGUUGCCUCUCACCCAGUCGGCCUGGGUUCGAUCCCAGAAGGACC